RNAcentral lists this long non-coding RNA (5257 nucleotides) under Zea mays. RNAcentral's name for it is "long non-coding RNA (ZMAY_LNC005172)". The record is from RNAcentral. Lineage: Eukaryota; Viridiplantae; Streptophyta; Magnoliopsida; Poales; Poaceae.
CAAAUUCUAAAUGCACAUUCAAAAUUCCAAUAUGAUGCAAAGUAUAUUUAUUUAUUAUUCCUAUUUCUCUAAAUAAACAUGCUUCAACACAUAAAGAAUGAAUCAUACAAUUAAAUAAUUAAGUACCCUUCUUGUAUUAUUAAAUAGAGUUAGUAAUAACUUAUUUCAAGAUUUAAAUGUUUAUUACCAUGAAAUCUUCAUGAGACAACACUUUCGUAUAAUUAUUUAGAGAAUAGUUUAAAGCAUAAGAUUUAAUGUUUAAUUAUUUAAGUCCCUAGAGGUUCUUUUCAUCGAUUACCUUGCUUCAAAACACAAGAAUUUAAUAUCUUGAGAAAUCUUUCCAAAUUUACCAGGAAUAUAAUUUUAGGUUGUUACAAAUUCUACCCCCCUUAAUAGAAAUCUCGUCCUCGAGAUUUGUAAGGACAGGGAUGUAAAAAGCUCUAUUUAUAAUUUAGCCUUUAACUUCUAAUUAGUUUAAGAAUUAAGAAGUUUCAUGUUAUUUAGAUAGUGGUUAUGAAAGCAUGGGUAUGUAUAUCCACUUUAUUAUGUAGUAUAAUAAGAUGUCUUUAAAGUAUGGAUGGGUUUGGGUACGAAAGAGUAAGGUAAGGAAAGACUCCAUCAAGAUUAUGGAUCUUGAUUCCUUUCAAAAUCUGGCUUGAAUCUUAUCUUUCCUUGAUUUGACGAGGUUGAUCACCUUUGAUCUUUGGUCUUGACAUCAUCAUCCGAGCUACCGACAUAUAGUUAGAAUAGCUUGUAGAUAAGAACAUUUAGCUAAUAGGUAGAUGGCAUAGGAUGAGUGUGCUAUAGCCAAACAGGGGUCUAGUUGCUUUGUUAGGUUGGCUAGGUACAAAUCUUUAGGAAUAUGUAGGUUAGUUGGGCAGGUUAGAAUAUUUUGUUGUGAAAUAAAUAGUUUAGGCAACCUAUCAAAAUAUAUAGGUUAGGUUGUUUGUGUAUUGAUCGGAUUGGCCUAAGCCACCAAUUUAGGUUUAGGUGAAUUAGGAGUAUGGCCCUAUUCCUUGUACCAGCAUUAAGUAACUCACUCUAGAUUAGAUCAUACUAGAUUAGAUAAAGUCUAGAUUAGGUUGGUAUGACUAGAUUAAACAAGUUUAAGUUAUAAAGAUUUACUAGGGUAGGAUAAAUAUCAUUAGGAUAUGUUAGAAUCUUUUGAGAUAAGAUGGAUCUAUUAAGAUAAGAGAGGGUAUUUUAAGAUAAGAUGGAUCUAUGAGUGUAGGAUAGAGUCUUUUAAGAUGAGAUGGAUAUUGUUAGGCUAGAUACUUUAAUGAGGGAUAAUCUAGUUUGUCUAGUUAUUUUGAUGAGCAUUUUUUUUCCUAUAUGUAUAUGCAGAUGUAAUUGUGGACAUUACUCCACAACUCAUCACACUCAAUCAAAGAUCCAAAUCAAACAAGUAUCAUAAGAACAAGCAUUCAAGCAUAUAGAUACUUACAAAAAUAGUUUUGAUUUUGUCCCUAAGAUGAGGUCUCCUAUCCUAAAGUUCACUAGAUUUCAAAGUGUGAAAUCCACAUUUGUCUUUAGAAAGGGAAAGGUGAGAAUAAUCAGAGUAAAGCAGAAAUAGAUGAGAAAAGAUUAAGAAAAGUUUAGAAAAGAAUCAGAGUAGCAAAGGUAAGUAAGUAAGGGGUGUCCAGUUCUAUCUAGGUUCCGUCCUACAGUCAACAUUCCUCUGAUACCACUUCUGUAACACCCGGAUUUUAGGGGUCCAAAACCCGGGCGCUAACAUAAACACCAGGUAUGCUGGGACCAAGUCUCACACAUAUGAUGUAAAGUGGCACAGGAUCGAAUGUCACAUCUUUAUAUAUAACAGGAGUUCUAUACAAAAUAAAUAAUUACAUUAUAAGGAGACAACGGUCCAGCAACCCAAAGUUGACUGGGAGACGACGGCCUAGACCACUCACGAACUCAUCACAGCAUCCUCCACGCGCCUCAUCCUGUGGUACCUGCUCCUGACCUGUGGGGGGGGUGUGAGACAGCAAGAGUGAGCUCACAUACGUUCAUCGCUCAGCAAGUUGUGGGGAAUAAUGUGUAUGAACUCGCCAAAGGUGGGAGCUCAUGUGAAGUGUAAGGCUUACCAAAGAGGAUGGCUGAAGCUGAGCAUUGCUUUUAAAGUUGGUCAAAUUUUUAUUAGCCAUUACUAAGUAUAAGUAAAUACCAACCCAAUUAAAUAGUAGAACAGAAGUAACAACAUCACCUGCGAUGCAAUGCAUAUGACAAAUUGAAUUUAAGUUCCAUAGAUUAAUCAUGUGAGUGUCCGAGCCGCUCAUGACCGUGAGCACGGCUAGUAUACCAGUUUUACACUCUGCAGAGGUUGCGCAUCUUUACCCACAAGUCAUGUUACCCAUCUGCCAAGGGAUCGCGACUUCCCAUACACCUCUACCGAGGAGGCGAGGCAGGGUAACACUACGAGGCCUUUACAAAGUUCCACUAGCUUCAGAAAACCCGCUACAGUUUAUAGGAAGCUCCAAUGCAGGAAUCCCUUGCAGGACCGCCAUCACAGCAAAAUCCUCCCGAGGGCCUCCCCAGGAAUCCCUUGCAGGACCGCCAUCACAGCAAAAUCCUCCCGAGGGCCUUCCCAGGAAUCCCUUGCAGGACCGCCAUCACAGCAAAAUCCUCCCGAGGGCCUCCCUACACUGACCACUCCCCUACUGCCCUUGCCCCUUUCGGGUAAGGUAGUCUUCCACUAGCUUUCCUAAUAAAUCGGCCAAGGGCGUCCCAUUAAACCCUUGUGGUAGCACUGUUUUCCCGGGUGGUUCUCCAUGUUCCAAUUAACAUAAUGAUCUUAUCAUGAACAGUGAUAAUAAACAGAUAAUAAAAGUGUGAUCAUGAAUAAUGUAUCUUCAUACCCAAACCACAUAAAGCACUAGCAAGUACUACCCAAAAAGUUCAGUGGUAAACAAGGUAUAAAGAUAGACAAACUAGGGUAACCUAUUGGGUCCCAUCAAAAUUAACCUAUGCAGAUCAUUAUGAUUAAUCAGAACAUGGCUGGGUAAAAAGAAGUGAUCAAGGGCACAACUUGCCUGGCACUUGAGAUUCCAGGUACCAACUUGCUCUUCAGGUGACACGUGUCCUCACGCUAGUCGUAGCAAUACAAACAAGUAGUGUAUAGGCAAAAUUAACAUCACACCAAACAUAAGAACAAACUGCGUAAUAACGAUCUACGCGAUACUACGAGAUCGUAGAAACAAGAACCACUAAAUUCGGAGCUACGGAUAUUGAGUUAUGAAUUUCCGAAAUCAAUUAGCACCUAGAAUAGAUUAAUUCAAUUGAGCAAUUUUAAUUCAAGUUUCAUGGUUAAACAAAGGUACUAAGUGAUAAACGAUAUUAAAACAAAAUUAAUGCCACUGAAAUGAAUCAAUUUGGAGUUAAAAUGAAUUAAAUAUGAAUUAAACAAGUUUUAAGAUUUAUUUUUAUACUACAAAUCAAUUUCUAAUAUUAAUUAUCUAGUUUCUCUGUUAUCUGGACUGCGCGUCAUUUACUAAGAAGCUCGAGGUUUAAUUCGCAAAAUCUACCAGACUCAACCCUGACCCGAGGUGGACGGCGGGUUGAUUCUUAUACUUCUCAGGGUCUCUUGUGUAAAACGCCUACGACGAAGGGGUAUGGUUAAUUCUGAGCCGCGAGAUCAGAUAGCGACGGUCCAGAUUAGAUCUGCCCCCAACGAACCGGUACGCGAUCACAUCCGUCCGAUCGACGACCGACGACGCGGAUUUAAAAUACUCCAACCCGCCCAGAAUCGCCCGAUCGAGAUCAAAUGGCUCAUAACCAAACUGGGCGAACCGGCAUCCAUAUCUAAUCGUGGCCACAUGCCCAUGAUCCAACGGCUGGCCGGGUUUCUUCCUCCCACGACGACUCCGGGCGGUGCCACUGUGUGCCCACGGCGGCGCCGUUGACAGCAACUGGGCAACCCGACCGGCCAGCGAUUCGGCCCCAAAUCGAAUCAAGGCUACCCGUUAAGAAGCCAACAACGAACGUGUGAGGGGGUUUCUUACCGGAUUUUAUGUUGCGAAGUCGUCCGCCCACGGUGGCGGCAAUUCUUCGAACGCCGGCGACGAAUUACGCCAGCAACGCAUGCCAAACGCACCCGGGAAAACCACGUACGGAAGCGGUGAACACCGGCGAUGCCCCAGGACCCGUCGUCGAGGCCAGAGCAACGAGGAGGACGCAGAUCAAUGGUGGCGGCAACCUCUCUGUUCCAUCUCUCUCCCAUGGAUUCGCUCAGCAAUAUGGAUCACGGCGGCUACUAACCCUCUUGGCGAGCACACGAUGGCGGCGUCAAUCGGGCACUGGACGAAGGUGAGGGCAAGUGGCUACGCGGCGGCUGUGAGGUCUUCCAACGGCGCGCGGCGUUGGGUUUCCUCCCGUGAUUUCUCUCUCCUCUGUUCUUGUGACCACGGUGGACCUCGGCGUUCGUUCACAGGGUCGGGCGAGGGAGCAGGGCUCGGGAUUUAUAGCGCCGCGGAUUCCGCAAGAGCUGGCGGGAGAACCGCGCCCUUCCAGGCCGAGUUCGUUCGAUCCGCACGGAUUCCGCGCCACCGGUACCGAGGUAGACAGAGAUACGCGCGUUUCUGUUACGAACGACGCGGCGGAGAAGAAGGAGCUGACCAUGCGGCCCCACGCGUAAGCGCCGCGAGCGGAACGCGAGAAGGAUAAGAGUGGCGGCAGCAGCGGAGCUGGCGGGCGCUGAUGGGCCUAGGGUUUAGGUUAGUUGGGCCAGGGAAAUUUGGCCCGCACAGGUAUGAGUCUCCUUUUCUGUUUUUUUUUUUUACUUUCUUAUUUUUGGCUGAGUUCAUAAAGUUCAAAUUCAAAUUUAAAUUUAAACAAAUUCUAAAUGCACAUUCAAAAUUCCAAUAUGAUGCAAAGUAUAUUUAUUUAUUAUUCCUAUUUCUCUAAAUAAACAUGCUUCAACACAUAAAGAAUGAAUCAUACAAUUAAAUAAUUAAGUACCCUUCUUGUAUUAUUAAAUAGAGUUAGUAAUAACUUAUUUCAAGAUUUAAAUGUUUAUUACCAUGAAAUCUUCAUGAGACAACACUUUCGUAUAAUUAUUUAGAGAAUAGUUUAAAGCAUAAGAUUUAAUGUUUAAUUAUUUAAGUCCCUAGAGGUUCUUUUCAUCGAUUACCUUGCUUCAAAACACAAGAAUUUAAUAUCUUGAGAAAUCUUUCCAAAUUUACCAGGAAUAUAAUUUUAGGUUGUUACAAUUUUGGUGAUUAAGUGUCCAACACAUAUUAAGUGGGUUAUUAUAUGCCAAAUG